CCUCCAGUUCCAUGGAUGACAUCGAUGGUGUGGACAUGCGCCCACGCUGAUGAUGACAUCGUCGACUCCGACCUCAACCUCUACUAUGAGGCCAUACACCAUGACUACCCACAGAAGGUGCUAUGUAAGUGGAGGAAGGUUUUUGGCGUCGCUGUAGGAGAAAGAUUUUCUUUGGUGAGUUGAAGGAAGAAGCCUGGGACUCCAGAGUGUUUCGACUGGCUGUUUUAGCAAUGGAGGAGAACCGUUUUAGUCUGUGAGCUGAUGUUUGUAGUAUUCAGGAAUGGGCUCUUGUUUGCUUAUGGUGUGACCGAAGAAGACCGAGGGCAUGAUGAUGGAUGGAGCCCUUGGUUGUUGUUUCUCAAGAUUAGUUACUUGUAUUGACAAUUGAUGUGCUGUGUUGGCAGGGUGGGGAUGGAUGCAUUGUACUCCCUCCGUUCCGAUUUACUCGUCGUGGUUUUAGUUCAAAUUUGAACUAAAACCACGACGAGUAAAUCGGAACGGAGGGAGUAGUAGGUAGGUAGGUAGUAGCUCUUAUAUAUCAUCCUCCCAGGUAGGUGUUGAUGGGUGGUAUAGGAGGAGACAGAGCACGCAUCAAAGUUGUUGUAUUUCUACUUGCAACAAUAUGUGAUAGUAUAAUACAGUUGUAUCAAUGCUUCUCAAUUUUCUGGCCAUCUGGAUCAAGAUGGCUGGGUGCAUUUAAAUUUCUAGCUAGAGAUCUCAUGACUUAUGUUUGUUGGUCCGAUCGUCCCUGGGAUGUUUUUGGAGAGCAGUUGUUAUAUCUCUUUUUUUAGGAACAUUUGAUUGUAUAUCUUGUUAUGGGCAUGUGGACAAAUACAAUCAAGGGCCAGGGAAUCUAAAGUAAAAGGCCUUGUUGAUCAGAGUUAAA
Triticum aestivum (bread wheat) is the source of this 886-nucleotide long non-coding RNA. RefSeq lists it as uncharacterized. NCBI's taxonomy places the organism in Eukaryota, Viridiplantae, Streptophyta, Magnoliopsida, Poales, Poaceae. The transcript is spliced from 2 exons. The record is from RefSeq and is a predicted model, not a curated record.